AACAUGCCUGGGGUGCAGAAGAGAACAAGAAAGACUAUUUAGCGAAGUAGGCUAAUAGUGGUGUGGAGGAAGGGGGUUGAUUUUCACAUCUGAGAACUGUUGAGCCUGCAAAUAUUACUGAAAUCACAUCUGGGAACAAAGCUCUGCUUUAAGUAAGUUCACCCAUGAGUGUUGCUAAGCAAUGGAGAAAAGAAGAGUGACAGGGAGAGUGCCUGACUUUAGGAUUAGGAGGAUAGAGAGAAGAUAAAAAAGUAAGAUUUCUACACAGCCUUAUUUAUAUGAACUUUCAAGUUCUUUGUUUCUAUUGCUUGUCUUCAAAACUAUUUGUACCAUGAUUAAUCUUAUCUGGUUCAGUAUCUAUACCAAUGCACACGCAGCACAGAGAGGUGCUGCAUCCUGGAGCACUGGCACAAGCACUUGGGCACCAGAACUGUCAACAUCUGUCUCUGGAUUAAACAGCAAGGAAGGAGAGAAGAAAUCUUCCCUAUCAGCUGCAGCAGGGGUUGCUGCAGGAAGAUGAUAAUUCCCUCCUGCUACUCCGCUGACAACCACCGAGCUGCACAGGAGGAGGAAGGCAUUUUAAUCAUGGAAUUGAAAAACACAGCAGUUUCUAAAGCUUCACCUCACCUUGGUUGAUUUACAUUAAUUUAGGAUCAACUGGCUUUCGGUGGAAUUAUGUUAUAUAUGGAAGAUAACAGAAGGAAAAAUUUGGCGUCAUUUCUAGUUUGGCUGUCCAUUAGAGAACGUGUGCCUAUGUAUAUAAACAGUUUUGGAGAAUCUCAGAUAAGCAUAAUGAAUCCCUUAAAAGCACAGUUCAAACUUGAGGGCUCCCUAAUUCCAUAGUAAGUGUCUUAUAAAUGCCAGACUUCAAAAAAAAACAAAACCUUAACAAUUAGCAAGUCAGGGUCCAAUCCAGUGUCCACUGAAGCCAUCAGAAAACCUGUGACAAAGGCCCAGAAGAUUUGACUCUGGCUCUUUCAUCAGAUUAUCAUUAUAACAAAGGCACCCCAUAAGGGGCUGCUAGAGAAAUGCAAAUCUUGUGUCAAAGACAGUCAGACACCCCCAAAAUUAAAAAUUUGAGCACACAGCAGCUUACAUGCAGCAGCUUUGGGCAUGUGGCACAACAUCUGCUACAAAAACACUAGAAAGCAGACCUGCAGCAAACUGGACCACUGCCAGCUCUCAAGAUUAUUCUUUUUUCCCCCCUGACAAGGCUGUCAAGUAAAUGGACAGAUGGCAGCCGAUGCACUCACUGGAUAGUUAGCUCAGUUAACAAUCAAGUAUGCUAGAUGAUUUCAGAUUCACUCUGCAGCAAGCAUUGUAUUUUCUAUUGAACCAUUAACACUGUGUCCUAAUAGGAAUAUAGUUUGGUAUUAAGAAACUGGCAGAUUUUGUAUUUUACAAGACAGUUUCUCUGGAACAAUUUGUCAGGGAACAUUAGAUCUGCCGUCAUGAAUAAAGUGAGAAUCUGCCAAGUUUACCAGGCUGGUUUGUUCAUAAUUUUAACUCGACAGUGUUUGAAGAACGAGGAUGGAAACAAACGCUAAGAUGCAGGUCAGCUAUCCACACAAGCUGCUCCCAGGGAUGCAGUCAGCUAAAAGCAGGGUAGAUGUUAAGAGCACACAGGAUAUUGCAGCUGUACUGCCUUGCCCUGCAGUAGGACAUGGCACUGAGCCCUUCUGGACAGGACAGCUCUCACCACCAGCCUGCUGGGUGACACACUUAUCAUCUCAGUGCACAGAUGUGAGGAUUCAUCCCAGAAAAACUAAUAGUUCUUGGGUUAAAAUGGGUGCAAUCUGUAAACAAAGAUUUGGCCCUCAUACCCCAAGGGGGCAAAUAACUCAGUACUGAGCACUAGCACACAGCAUACAGGUGGACUUUUGGCCCCAGCAUUACAAAACACAUCUUUUAAUUCUUCCUCUUUAUGACUAUGUCUUUAACAACAUGACUCUAGACUAGGUGACAAUGUUACUCAAUUGGUUUUCUUUUCCACAAAUUAGCAGGGCAAGAAUAAUCUUUGAAAAAAGUGAAAUAUGUUGUUCUACCUUUUAAUUCUCCUCCCUUCACCUUUUGUUCCUGUUGCAUAUCCAUUUUAUCCAUCCACCAAAAGUCCCAUACCACUAAGCACAUGGUCAAAGGGAUAAUUAAAUAUAAUAGAAGCUAUUCAUCCCAUAUUUAGCUCCCACAACCAUUUUAUUCAUCAAUGUUGCACCUACUAAGUACCCCGAGAAAAUAGACACCACACCUUUUCUGCCCGCAUUAUAGAAAUCCUUUAGCAGAAAAAGGGUUGAGGGGAGAACCCAAAAAAAAUAAGCAGAAGAGUAGGACAAGGAAGAGAGCUCUCUCAAAGGAAGCAGGAGUUGUGGCAUGGAUACAGGUGAAGCCAGCACCUCAUAUUUCUUAUCUGUUGGCUCAGUUGCAAAAAGUAGGACUGAAGCAAACUGAAAAAUGCAAAGCAUGUCUAGUGGGCAAUCAACAAACUAUGGUUUACACAGUCAGGUGUCAACUGCAGAGCAGCAGGUUCUGACUGGUGCUGUGAAAGUCUUGCACUUUGGACCCACACCCUGAGCUCUCCAAAAGCACAGACCUUAUCCUACUCCAAGUGCUGAACCAAGAGAAGCUGCAUUGCGUGUUACAACGAUCUGGAAAACUCCCACCGCCUGCCUGUGGUCAGUCUGUGGACAUCACACAGACCUGCCGUGGACAUCACACAGACCUGCCAUGGACAUCACACAGACCUGCCAUGGACAUCACACAGACCUGCCAUGGACAUCACACAGACCUGCCAUGGACAUCACACAGACCUGCCGUGGACAUCACACAGACCUGCCGUGGACAUCACACAGACCUGCCCUUCACUUUGCCUUUCUGCUAUGACACUGGUUCUUCAGAGAUGUUUACAGAGUAUCACUACAGUUAUACCAGGAAAAUCAGCAACAGCAGCCAAGAACUUAUAUGCCCUGCUCUUCCAAUUCAGACAUGGAAAAGCAUCACAGAAAUUUCAGGAGAACAGGAUCAAGAACUCUGCCAUCACACUGAGCUCCUUAGCAGCCCACUCUCUGCAGCUUUCCUCUCUCUUGAGAAGGAGACAGUGUUGUGACUACCAGUGUGAAAUCACCACAGCAGGGAAGUCAGAGAUGCAACUGAAAAAAAUAAAGUGCAAACCAGUCAAAAAUGGAGACAGAAGCAACCUCAUCUUCUGGCUCAACUUUAUGAAAAUCUGAUUAGACCUUAGCAAAAUUUAAUCUUUGCCUUCCAGACCUUCUGAGACAACAAUAAAGAUCUUCUGAGGUCAUAAAGUAUCAAGAGAGGAGAGACACCACUCCACUAUAGGAAAAUAGCUGAGGAAAAUUGUUUUUCUUGGCACUAUUCGCCUGGUAAAUCUGCAAAAAAUGUUAUUAAAAAUUGAAUGAUAAAAAGCUACACAUCACUAUUUUUAAAAUACAAAAAUACACUUUAUCAGAUAGAAAGUAAUAAAAUAACAUGAAAAAGACAAGACAAAUUAGUUACAGCAAUAAUUAGGAAUGCCAGACAUUUAGAAGAGAGUAUCUGUUUAAAUUGCUAAGACAGCCAAGAGACAGAAAAAUGGACUCCCAGCAGUCCUGCAGUGGUAACAUUUCUUUUUCCUUUUUGUUCCUAUCAUAGAUCUACAGCAAAAACAAAAUCUGCCAGAUACAUUUUUCUAUUAUCAACCCUUCCCCAGAACAAUUUUGCUUCAAAACCACUCAUUAGGCUGGAAUUGGCAAAACCCAAGUCCCAGUCUUUUUCUCAGCCACAGAGGCCACAUUUCCUUCUUCUUCCCUGUCUCCUUGUGGUAGCUGUUCCUACACUGCCUCACGGGAAAAAAAGAAAAGGGAAUUUUUUGACUUUCCUCAAAACCUUUUUGCUUUCACAGACAGCUAACACAUGGUGCCGUUAGCCCCAAAGAGGCUACACUGAAUGCUGCUGCCUGGAUGUCCUUCAGCCAUUUGCAGAUCAACAGAAAGCUUUCACUGGGGGAAGGGCUGUUGGUCGGGUGUCAUUCCCAUCUGUCAGCUCAGCAGCAGCAACGGUACCAAACGAAGUCUUUCUGCUCAUUCAGCAUCUGUGGUUUAAUAUUUGCCAAGGGUUUGAUCUUGGCCUCUUGGUUUGUGCCUACAGUACCCAGGAUUCCCAGGUGGUCUCCCAGCCAAACAUUAGCCUACUUUAGGACUGCUGAGCCUGCAGAAUCAAUCUGCCAUAAGCCAUGUUUUGUUGACACAGUGUAUACUAACAAACCCUACACACUGAUGGUUUCUUAGACUCUUCCAAUUCUCUGCUUACAGUCCAGUAAGAUCAGGUUUUGCAGUUUUUGGGAAAGAAAGCAAGCAAUUCUUAUCAAAAUACAGCAAUCUGGGAAAUUAAAAAAGGAAAAACAAAUAUGAACAGGUGGAAAAAUUGUAUUUGUUUCCUCUACUUAUCUAAUAUAUCAGCUCAUGAGACCAACUCAUCUUCACCCUAUAUCAUGCCAGACAAAGUGGCAUCUAUUUUUUAUAUCCAGAAAGUUUAAUAAAAAAAAAUAUAAUUUUAGGGCCAAUCCAAUGGAUGUGCAGAUCUAAAGUAACUGAAGACGAUGUACACAAAUUAAGUAAAGUUAAAAACUAGAGAAUGGUCAUAUAUAUCAUCUAGGAGUUCAACUUCAUUUUUUACAUGCAUUGUUCCCCCCAUAUGCUUAUUAUUGCCUAUAGAAUCCUUCACUUAGUAAUUCCACAAUUCAUACAGUCAUGCAACAAAAACAUGGUUAUGUUGCAGAUGGUUAUACAGCAGAAUUUCUGUAGAAUAAAGUUAACUGAUUAAAAUCCUAUUUUAAUCAUGCAACUAAAAAAAUCCACAGUAAUAUUGUAAAAUGCAUCUAUGCAGAAAGCUAGAAAACUGGAAUGAAUAUGGUAGUUUGAUCUCUUACAGUACAGAUGUACAAUAAUUCUCAAUCUGUUCUUGCCUGGGCAGGUAAGGGGCUGUGUACUAUUCAAGAUUAAUUAGAAAAAACACGUGUUCCUCAUGAAUGAUGUCAUGUCUAGUAAUAUACAUAAAUUAAUUCAUGUCAGCGUUGGCCAUGUUGUGUCAUGAUUAUUUCUUUUAGGUAAAGGAUGUUUUUUUAAAAAUUAUUUUUUGCUACAGAUUGCCUAUGAACUUUACAAUCUUUGUAGAGAGAUUUUAUAAAAAUAAAAGUACCAGACAAGAACAA
Pipra filicauda (Wire-tailed manakin) is the source of this 5203-nucleotide long non-coding RNA. RefSeq lists it as uncharacterized. NCBI's taxonomy places the organism in Eukaryota, Metazoa, Chordata, Aves, Passeriformes, Pipridae. The transcript has 2 exons. The record is from RefSeq and is a predicted model, not a curated record.